CUACAGAGGGUGCGAGCGUUAAUCGGAAUUACUGGGCGUAAAGCGCGCGUAGGCGGUCUAUUAAGUCAGAUGUGAAAUCCCAGGGCUCAACCUUGGAACUGCAUCUGAUACUGGUAGACUAGAGUUUUGGAGAGGGAAGUAGAAUUUCAGGUGUAGCGGUGAAAUGCAUAGAGAUCUGAAGGAAUACCAGUGGCGAAGGCUACUUCCUGGCCAAAAACUGACGCUGAGGUGCGAAAGCGUGGGUAGCAAACGGGAUUAGAAACCCCAGUAGUCC
RNAcentral lists this ribosomal RNA (274 nucleotides) under uncultured bacterium. RNAcentral's name for it is "partial 16S ribosomal RNA". It matches the Rfam family "Bacterial small subunit ribosomal RNA", at positions 523 to 796 of the family's 1533-position model. The record is from RNAcentral.